This 253-nucleotide ribosomal RNA is filed under the name uncultured bacterium. Its description in RNAcentral is "partial 16S ribosomal RNA". It matches the Rfam family "Bacterial small subunit ribosomal RNA", at positions 524 to 776 of the family's 1533-position model. The record is from RNAcentral.
UACGAAGGGGGCUAGCGUUGCUCUGAAUCACUGGGCGUAAAGCGCACGUAGGCGGAUUGCUAAGUCAGGGGUGAAAUCCUGGAGCUCAACUCCAGAACUGCCCUUGAUACUGGCGGUCUCGAGUCCGGGAGAGGUGAGUGGAACUGCGAGUGUAGAGGUGAAAUUCGUAGAUAUUCGCAAGAACACCAGUGGCGAAGGCGGCCCGCUGGACAUGUAUUGACGCUGAGGUGCGAAAGCGUGGGGAGCAAACAGG